Molecule: ribosomal RNA, 497 nt
Filed under: uncultured bacterium
Lineage: Bacteria
Description: partial 16S ribosomal RNA
Rfam family: Bacterial small subunit ribosomal RNA
Source: RNAcentral
GAUGAACGCUGGCGGCGUGCCUAAUACAUGCAAGUCGAGCGAACGGACGAGAAGCUUGCUUUUCUGAUGUUAGCGGCGGACGGGUGAGUAACACGUGGAUAACCUACCUAUAAGACUGGGAUAACUUCGGGAAACCGGAGCUAAUACCGGAUAAUAUUUUGAACCGCAUGGUUCAAAAGUGAAGGACGGUCUUGCUGUCACUUAUAGAUGGAUCCGCGCUGCAUUAGCUAGUUGGUAAGGUAACGGCUUACCAAGGCAACGAUGCAUAGCCGACCUGAGAGGGUGAUCGGCCACACUGGAACUGAGACACGGUCCAGACUCCUACGGGAGGCAGCAGUAGGGAAUCUUCCGCAAUGGGCGAAAGCCUGACGGAGCAACGCCGCGUGAGUGAUGAAGGUCUUCGGAUCGUAAAACUCUGUUAUUAGGGAAGAACAUAUGUGUAAGUAACUGUGCGCAUCUUGACGGUACCUAAUCAGAAAGCCACGGCUAACUACGUG